Dermacentor andersoni is the source of this 654-nucleotide long non-coding RNA. RefSeq lists it as uncharacterized. NCBI's taxonomy places the organism in Eukaryota, Metazoa, Arthropoda, Arachnida, Ixodida, Ixodidae. The record is from RefSeq and is a predicted model, not a curated record.
GGCGCAAGCGCAAGGCGCACAUCGCUGACUAUGCGUCUCGUUCUUCUUGUACAGGCUUUGUUCCUGUCAACCGCCAACUCCCUUACUGCGCCUUCAGUCAAGCCGUGUACAACAGCGACAACAUGCGACAUCGACGGGGAAGCUGCAUGCGUCCCUUCAUACACGGAUGAUGCAGCGAUUACAAGUCACGGGUUCCUGACGUCAACGGAUUCAACUCCUCUAAAGGCAGCACCGAACCAUGGACUUGCCAGUGGGCACGGCGAAAGCGCAAGGCGCACAUCGCUGACUAUGCGUCUCGUUCUUCUUGUACAGUGAGCGCAGAAUGCGAGGCGUCCCAAUGUCCUUUGGUUGCCAACGAGAACGGAUUAUACAUCGUCCUUCAAGCAAGCAACCCCACUUAUAAAAGUCCUUCGCGUGGUGACACAUAACGCUUCAUCAAUAAUAAAGACAUUUGCAUCUGCAGAGUGGGAGGCUGAAGAGGACGAUGACGAUGACACUUUCGAAGACUGUCCGGAUCGUUUAAGGAAGGAGUUUUUAAGCGAGUGCCAUCAGCGGCAAUUUUGAUUAGGCUACGCCACCCACAGUCUACAGCUUGCCGUAAAAGACGCCAUUCGGCAGGUAUGCGCUAUUAAAUAACAUAUCGGUUUCAUCUUA